GAUGAACGCUGGCGGCGUGCCUAAUACAUGCAAGUCGAGCGAACAGAUGAGGAGCUUGCUCCUCUGACGUUAGCGGCGGACGGGUGAGUAACACGUGGAUAACCUACCUAUAAGACUGGGAUAACUUCGGGAAACCGGAGCUAAUACCGGAUAAUAUAUUGAACCGCAUGGUUCAAUAGUGAAAGACGGUUUUGCUGUCACUUAUAGAUGGAUCCGCGCCGCAUUAGCUAGUUGGUAAGGUAACGGCUUACCAAGGCAACGAUGCGUAGCCGACCUGGGAGGGUGAUCGGCCACACUGGAACUGAGACACGGUCCAGACUCCUACGGGAGGCAGCAGUAGGGAAUCUUCCGCAAUGGGCGAAAGCCUGACGGAGCAACGCCGCGGGAGUGAUGAAGGUCUUCGGAUCGUAAAACUCUGUUAUUAGGGAAGAACAAAUGUGUAAGUAACUAUGCACGUCUGGACGGUACCUAAUCAGAAAGCCACGGCUAACUACGU
This 496-nucleotide ribosomal RNA is filed under the name uncultured bacterium. RNAcentral's name for it is "partial 16S ribosomal RNA". It matches the Rfam family "Bacterial small subunit ribosomal RNA", at positions 28 to 506 of the family's 1533-position model. The record is from RNAcentral.